UGCGUAGGCGGGCUAAUAAGUCAGUGGUGAAAUCUUCCGGCUCAACCGGGAACCUGCCAUUGAUACUGUUAGUCUUGAGUUCGGUUGAGGUAGGCGGAAUGUGUAAUGUAGCGGCGAAAUGCUUAGAUAUUACACAGAACACCAAUUGCGUAGGCAGCUUACUAGACCGACACUGACGCUGAGGCACGAAAGCGUGGGGAGCGAACAGGAUUAGAUACCCUGGUAGUCC
Molecule: ribosomal RNA, 229 nt
Filed under: uncultured bacterium
Lineage: Bacteria
Description: partial 16S ribosomal RNA
Rfam family: Bacterial small subunit ribosomal RNA
Source: RNAcentral